GAACGCACAUUGCGCCCCUUAGUAUUCUAGUGGGCAUGCCUGUUCGAGCGUCAUUUCAACCCUUAAGCCUAGCUUAGUGUUGGGAGACUGCCUAAUACGCAGCUCCUCAAAACCAGUGGCAGAGUUUUUACGUACUCUGAGCGCAGUAAUUCUAUUCUCGCUUUUGAACACGUCUAGACGAUAGCCAAAAACCGCUUGCUUCGGCAGCACUUUUUUAAUGGUUGACCUCGGAUCAGGUAGGAAUACCCGCUGAACUUAAG
Molecule: unclassified non-coding RNA, 260 nt
Filed under: Microdochium phragmitis
Lineage: Eukaryota; Fungi; Ascomycota; Sordariomycetes; Xylariales; Microdochiaceae
Description: sequence contains 5.8S rRNA gene
Source: RNAcentral